RNAcentral lists this ribosomal RNA (453 nucleotides) under uncultured bacterium. Its description in RNAcentral is "bacterial SSU rRNA". It matches the Rfam family "Bacterial small subunit ribosomal RNA", at positions 29 to 511 of the family's 1533-position model. The record is from RNAcentral.
AACGAACGCUGGCGGCAGGCCUAACACAUGCAAGUCGAACGCUCGUAGCAAUACGGGAGUGGCAGACGGGUGAGUAACGCGUGGGAACGUACCUUUCGGUUCGGAAUAACCCGGGGAAACUCGGGCUAAUACCGGAUACGUCCUGCCCCUUAAACAAGGGUGGGAGAAAGAUUUAUCGCCGAAAGAUCGGCCCGCGUCGGAUUAGCUAGUUGGCGGGGUAACGGCCCACCAAGGCGACGAUCCGUAGCUGGUCUGAGAGGANGAUCAGCCACACUGGGACUGAGACACGGCCCAGACUCCUACGGGAGGCAGCAGUGGGGAAUAUUGGACAAUGGGCGAAAGCCUGAUCCAGCCAUGCCGCGUGAGUGAAGAAGGCCUUAGGGUUGUAAAGCUCUUUCAGCGGGAAGAUAAUGACGGUACCCGCAGAAGAAGUCCCGGCUAACUUCGUGCCAG